Phymastichus coffea is the source of this 1206-nucleotide long non-coding RNA. RefSeq lists it as uncharacterized. Lineage: Eukaryota; Metazoa; Arthropoda; Insecta; Hymenoptera; Eulophidae. The transcript is spliced from 3 exons. The record is from RefSeq and is a predicted model, not a curated record.
GAAAUAAAGAAGUCAGUGUACAUUUGAGAAAAAGUACAGAAGGAAUGUUAGUUCUCGUUUCAUCAAAUGCAAACAUACAGCAAGUUUGAAAGCAACAAAACACAUCUGCCCGGCUUAUAAAGUCGACGAGAAGUUAUCAUCCGUGAUUUUUGAACUUUCAACGGCAGCUCUGCACAAGCUCGAAACAAAAGACAUCUAUAACUCGAGGGCAAGUUGAGGAUCGGUGUGGGUGUGUACAGCUGUAGGCAGAGGUUUGCAAGUGUUGCGAGCGAAGUAGCGAGAAUCGAGUGAGGUAAUUCGGGAGAAAGUUUCUGCGUGUGAGAGGAAAGCGCGCGCAGGCGGCUUUUCAGUGUACACACCACAAGGCCUACACGUGUGCGCGCUCUCGCUGUUGGAGCUUGGAGUAGGAGCGCGCGGAGGAGAAGAUAGGACGCCCCCGAGAGCGCACGGCGUCGCGACGUUCGACUGUACAGUUCCCAUCAGACGGCUUCUCGAGAUGGCAGGAUUCGCUCCCGCUCUCAUAGCUUCAGUCCUUCCUCCGACUCCGUCCUGGCACGUCACCCUCGUGGUAUCUCAUCCCCUCGUCUAUCCUACAAUUCUGUCCAUCCCCGGUAAACUGACAUAAACAAAGGCUAAUGUUACUCGUACUUGUACUACUCACAGCUGAUUUUCAUUCUAACUUUUUCACUUGAAUUUACAUUUAUUAUUUUUUAGGCAGUACACGUAAGCGUAAAGCCCAGAAAAAAAAUAACCGUCAAACAAAAAUGCACUUGGAAGAAACAAAUCCUCUCUAUAUCAUCUCCUUGAAACAUUAUCUUUGAAUCUGUCACGUGCUCGGCGAGUCGAAUGGGACUAGUUUCUCGAUUGCUAGGAAUGGAUUGAGUACUGAAAUAAUUAUCUAAUACAUUCGGUAUCUAUUAUAAAGAUACUGUUCCGUACGAGGUGGCGAGGCCCAACGAACAAUAGCGUCAAUCCACAUCGGGAGAACGCACGUGAUCGUUUUCAAAAGAAGAGAACAAGGCGAGCAGCCGAGCUUGUACGAGAGGGCUUCAGAUCUUCCAGAAGGAUUGCCCGGAUACUUUCUCUAUGCGGUUUCGUGAUCGCCAACUGAUUAGAAAAGGCCUUGACAUCUCGAAAUAAACCAUAACUUUUACGACUUGUUAACUUUGACAUCAAGAUUCUGAACUUUGAAAAGAAAACUAAUUA